RNAcentral lists this ribosomal RNA (300 nucleotides) under uncultured Lactobacillus sp. RNAcentral's name for it is "bacterial SSU rRNA". It matches the Rfam family "Bacterial small subunit ribosomal RNA", at positions 495 to 795 of the family's 1533-position model. Lineage: Bacteria; Bacillati; Bacillota; Bacilli; Lactobacillales; Lactobacillaceae. The record is from RNAcentral.
GGCUAAGCGGGGCCAGCGGGGAGGGUAAAACGGUGUGUCCAAGGGGUAUCCGGAAUCAUUUGGUUUAAAGGGGCCGUAGGCGGGCGUAUAAGUCAAUGGUGAAAGCCCAUCGCUCAACGAUGGAACUGCCAUUGAGACUGUAAGACUUGAAUGCUUAGGAAGUAACUAGAAUAUGUAGUGUAGCGGUGAAAUGCUUAGAUAUUACAUGGAAUACCAAUUGCGAAGGCAGGUUACUACUAAGUGAUUGACGCGGAUGGACGAAAGCGUGGGGAGCGAACAGGAUUAGAUACCCGGGUAGUC